This 440-nucleotide ribosomal RNA is filed under the name uncultured bacterium. RNAcentral describes it as "bacterial SSU rRNA". It matches the Rfam family "Bacterial small subunit ribosomal RNA", at positions 340 to 773 of the family's 1533-position model. The record is from RNAcentral.
UACGGAAGGCAGCAGUGGGGAAUAUUGCACAAUGGGCGCAAGCCUGAUGCAGCCAUGCCGCGUGUAUGAAGAAGGCCUUCGGGUUGUAAAGUACUUUCAGUCGUGAGGAAGGUGUUAAGGUUAAUAACCUUAGCAAUUGACGUUAGCGACAGAAGAAGCACCGGCUAACUCCGUACCAGCAGCCGCGGUAAUACGGAGGGUGCGAGCGUUAAUCGGAAUUACUGGGCGUAAAGGGCACGCAGGCGGUUAAUUAAGUUGGAUGUGAAAUCCCCGGGCUUAACCUGGGAAUGGCAUUCAAGACUGGUUAGCUAGAGUCUUGUAGAGGGGGUUAGAAUUCCAUGUGUAGCGGUGAAAUGCGUAGAGAUGUGGAGGAAUACCGGUGGCGAAGGCGGCCCCUGGACAAAGACUGACGCUCAUGUGCGAAAGCGUGGGGAGCAAAC